Long non-coding RNA from Fukomys damarensis (Damara mole-rat), 648 nucleotides. RefSeq lists it as uncharacterized. The record is from RefSeq and is a predicted model, not a curated record. Lineage: Eukaryota; Metazoa; Chordata; Mammalia; Rodentia; Bathyergidae. The transcript is spliced from 3 exons.
GCUCAGAAGCCGAGGCGCCGGGUCACCCAUGACAAAUGUCCCCGUGUCUCGCCAACAGGCCCCGCCUGGCCUUGCCACUCUAUCUGCCCAACAGGCCCCCGGAGAGCGCUUGCCGGUGUCAGUUUCAGAUGAUCAAUGACAAAAACCCACAACAUUUGUCCAACUCCAGGAGAUGCAUCUUUCUGCUGAGAAAACAGACUUUAUCAAAAAAUGAAGACAAAACCAGUUUGAAUAGGAAAUGAUAGCAGCGUCACUUCAACUGUGCAAGAGCUUUCUUUUUGAUUUUGAGCUGGUGCCUUGCCCUUGGGAUGGUAACCUGAGAUGAACACUGAAGGAAAACAGAGUGUGUGAAAGAUGGCCCCGCACCCCCCACCUUCUCUCCGGGCCACUCAGUGCGGAUAUAGAAUAUGACUUGCUUUUGUUCCAGUCAGAUUCUCAGAGCCUCAGGUAUGAAGAGUUUUCAGUUCGUGUCCCUUCCCCCAACCGACUGUGCAAACAAGCGUGGACAGGAGCUGGUGUUUUCUGACACGUGUUCCUCUUCACCGGGCCCUGGGCGCCCCUCUCCUUCCUCUCUUCCAUCAAGGGUCCACUCCUCUCCUUUUCAGCGUGUCGAAUUCAGGAAGGCAAACUGCUUCCACGCUGCGUGUG